AGCUCCAAUAGCGUAUAUUAAAGUUGUUGCAGUUAAAAAGCUCGUAGUUGGAUUUCUGGCAGAGAGACUAUGCCCGCACGUAGCGUGUGCAGAGGCUCUCUACCAUCCUUCUGUUAACCCUUCUAGUCAUUGACUUGACUGUUGGGAGCCCAGAUAUUUUACCUUGAGAAAAUUAGAGUGUUUCAGGCAGGCUAGCGCGUGGAUACAUUAGCAUGGAAUAAUGGAAUAGGACUUUUACCUCUUCUGUUGGUCUGAGGGUUAAAGUAAUGAUUAAUAGGGAUAGUUGGGGGCAUUAGUACUUAACUGUCAGAGGUGAAAUUCUUGGAUUUGUUAAAGACUAACUUAUGCGAAAGCAUUUGCCAAAGAUGUUUUCAUUGAUCAAGAACG
This 387-nucleotide ribosomal RNA is filed under the name uncultured eukaryote. Its description in RNAcentral is "SSU rRNA". It matches the Rfam family "Eukaryotic small subunit ribosomal RNA", at positions 587 to 985 of the family's 1831-position model. The record is from RNAcentral.